This 253-nucleotide ribosomal RNA is filed under the name uncultured bacterium. RNAcentral's name for it is "partial 16S ribosomal RNA". It matches the Rfam family "Bacterial small subunit ribosomal RNA", at positions 524 to 776 of the family's 1533-position model. The record is from RNAcentral.
UACGAAGGGGGCUAGCGUUGCUCGGAAUCACUGGGCGUAAAGGACGCGUAGGCGGCCGAUUGAAGUCGGGGGUGAAAGCCUGUGGCUCAACCACAGAAUUGCCUCGAUACUGGUUGGCUUGAGACCGGAAGAGGACAGCGGAACUGCGAGUGUAGAGGUGAAAUUCGUAGAUAUUCGCAAGAACACCAGUGGCGAAGGCGGCUGUCUGGUCCGGUUCUGACGCUGAGGCGCGAAAGCGUGGGGAGCAAACAGG